This 1194-nucleotide long non-coding RNA is filed under the name Gallus gallus (chicken). RNAcentral's name for it is "lncRNA (ENSGALG00010018417.1)". The record is from RNAcentral. Lineage: Eukaryota; Metazoa; Chordata; Aves; Galliformes; Phasianidae.
CUAGCUCUGAACUCCCAGCCUCUGAAUGCAUGGGGAGCUCAGAGCCUUAACUCACCAAAGUUCUCUCCUGGAGUUGAACAGUGUGAACAUUUGUUGCAGAACUGCCUUCUGGUAUUAAGUAAAGCUGCAGUGCAUGCCUUUUCUCUUAUUUUCAUGGCUCAUAUAUGAGGAUCAUUAGGUUUAUUCAUUUCUGAUCAGAAAUGGGCUGAAACCGCAGCUCCUCACUUGGAUUCUUUGGGGGACACCUAGGAUUUUUGCACUGAACUUUGCAGAAAGUCCCAUAAACAGCAUUCUAGUGGUGGACACUGAUGGUUUCAUUUUUUUUCUGGCUCAAGAGAGCACUCUUCCACUUGAAUAAAUGUGAAGGAAGCACAGCCUUAGGAAAGCUCUCUGUCAAUGAAAACAAAAGCCUAAGAAGUGAAAGGCCAUCAUAAGUCUCGCAGUCUUCCACUCCAAGUGUGAGACUUGCUUUGUGACCUUGCUUUAUCCAGUAUUCAACAACAUGUGCAGACAAAACCAGAAAAAGUCCCUAGGAAAACAAGAGGCCUGGCGCCGCAUCCUCCUCCUCCAUGGGGAGAUGAUGAGAGAACAAAGAACAUGUGAUGGAUGUGAGACACACCACAUAAUGUGAUGUCCUCAGAUAGUCAGAUGAGUGAAUAUCCAAGCUUCAACAGGACAGAGCAACACCUGAAUUGCUACAGGAGAUUUCAAUGGGAGGUGAAGAUGCUGGGCGUGCAGCAUGAAUCUGAUGAGAAAAGAGAAAGAGAAGGAUGAGGAGAAAGACUUUCACACAUGAAACCACAGUCUUCCGGGAUGACUGAAAACGGCAAAAUGAAAGAAACAAUCCAUUCUUCAGACAGUGUCAGACUAAGAGAUAAAACAUAUCCGGAUUCAGCUGUUGCCUCUUAAAGCUUCCUGUUCCUCUCACAAAAACUACUGGAAAAGUGCUCUUCCCUUUGCAGGACCUUCUACAAACAGACUUCAGUAAUUCCAACAGCACUAACAUACUGUUGGUCUCUGCUAAAAGCCCAGUGAGAAUCAAUGCUUUUUUAUUAAAAGGAACUCCAUUUUGAAAGCUCCAAGGGUUUUUUGUUUUUUUUCUUUCUCAGGCGGCAUAAGGUAAAGAUGACUUUUGACAUUAUAAGUUCUUUCCCUUUCCUUGAACUGAGAUACACCCUAAGUGAAUGAAAAAAC